Meriones unguiculatus (Mongolian gerbil) is the source of this 1444-nucleotide long non-coding RNA. RefSeq lists it as uncharacterized. The transcript has 3 exons. The record is from RefSeq and is a predicted model, not a curated record. NCBI's taxonomy places the organism in Eukaryota, Metazoa, Chordata, Mammalia, Rodentia, Muridae.
CCGCCCGCUCCGAUUUCUCUCCGGGAGUUCGAAGCCAAGGUCUCCAGAAGCCCUCGGACCUGCAGGAUGGAAAGCAGGCGCAAGCCGCGCACAGAGAACGCAUCUUGAGAGCUGGCAUGCUAGCUCAGUGAUUAGAGCACUGGCUGCUUUUCCAGAGGACUCGUGUUCCAGAUCCCAGCACCCACGACUAGUGGCUCAUAAUCACCUGUAACUGCACCUCCAGGGGAUCCAAUGCUUCUUUCUGGCCUCUUAAGGCAGGUCUAGGUGCCUUCGCUGCCUUCACUGCCUCAAGGAGUCUGGAGGCUCCACACGAAUUGCCUGAUUCGACAUGGUGAUCAGAGCAAGUCCUUCUGGUCUGAGGGUAUUGGGUCUUCAGCAAAGGCCCUGGUCUCCGAUCUGAGCAGCUCAUUAUUCACUGCCAAGUCUCCUCAGUCAAGUCUCCGUUAUUGCUGACUUGGCAACCCAGGACCUCACACCCAGGCUACCCUCAUGAAAGAAGCAUUUAUGUCCGUCUAGUGGCUGAAUAAAAGAGCAAGCUGUGAUGUAGAAUCUCUUUCUUGUUAGACUGCUCGGGGAUUAAACACAUGAACAUGUUUGAAACCCACUUGUCCAACCAAAAUGUUCCCUUUUCUUUCCCCUUUCCAAGUGAAAUGGAUUUGUGUGUGUGUGUGUGUGUGUGUGUGUGUGCGCGUGCUCUCAGCAUUUUACAGCAAUAACAUUCAGUUGCCAUCACUGAUUCAAUGAAGAUCCUUUUUCAGUUGGAGGACCGUAUUCGUCAUCGAAGGUGGCAUUUACAGGCUUGAGACGCUGGAGGAUGUUCCCAGGUUUAAGAUGAAGAUAACAGUUGUGACAAAAACUGACUUAGAACUGAGCGGGGCUGGCGUGUGUUGUUUUAAAGCAAGAAGGGGCUCACAGAUGGCUCAGAGACAGAUUUAGCAAGUCUGUGCUAAUCACACUCACGCAUGGGAAUACCUCCACCCAAACCAGCCACGCUUCCCUGGGCUCCUCUGGGGGUGGGGUGGGGGCUCUUGCUCAGCUAAUAAAUACAAGAAUGAGUAAUAUUUGAAGGCCUGGCAUAUCUAAUGCUUCCUGCUUUAGUUAUAACUGACUGUAUAUUACUCAAACCUCCACGACAAAGAGACAGUUCGUGAGAGGUGGUCCAUGAAGAUAAAAACAAAAUUCAGAAGUUCAGUUUUGAACAGAUAAAUAACUGGAUUCUUGAAUGCUUUACUUCUACAUAGUUUUCAACUUCUCUGUUAGUCUGUCUCAAGCAGAUUAAUUUUUCCAUACUACUGUUAUUUUAAAUAAAACACAGCAUCUAAGAAAAAAAAUCUACCCACAGACCUAAAAAGAAACUUGUCUUUCCUAAAACUGUAUUUAAUUGUUUUUGCUACGUCUGAUAUUUUCUGUUGAAUGUCUACCAAUGGUACAAAAUUAAAAUCCA